This 1541-nucleotide ribosomal RNA is filed under the name Macrocentrus camphoraphilus. RNAcentral's name for it is "16S ribosomal RNA". Lineage: Eukaryota; Metazoa; Arthropoda; Insecta; Hymenoptera; Braconidae. The record is from RNAcentral.
UUAAAAAUUAAGUAUGAAAUUUUUUAAUUUUAAUAUUUUAAAAUAAAAAAAAUAAUAUAAAAUAUUUUAAGUUUAUUAUAUUUAUUAAUUAUAAAACAUUUAAACAAAAUUUAAUUUUUUUAUAUAAUUGAAAAAUAAAAAUUAUUUAAAAAUAAAAUAAAUUUAAUAUUUUUACCUUUUGUAUCAGGGAUAUUUAAAAAUUUAAUAAAAAAUAUUAUAUCUCGAAUUUAAAAUAUUUAAAUAAUUAUUAAAAUUAAUAUAAUAUUAUUAUUAAAAAUUAUUAUUUAAAAAUAAAAAAUUAUUUAAUUUUAAAAAUUUCUAGUUAUUUAAUAAAUAAAUUUAAUUUAAAAUUAAAAUUUAAUUAAUUUUUAUAUUUAAAAUUAAUUUUAAUUUAAAAAUUUUAGGGAUAAACUUAAAAUUUUAUUUAAAAUUUAAUAUUUAAUUUAAAUUUAGGAUUGUAUAAUAUAAUACAUAAACGUGUAUACAUGUAUAUACAUAUAUAAAUAUAAAUAUAUGUAUAUAUUUAUAUAUGUCCCAUAUAUUUAUGGACAUAUAUAAGUAUGUAUAUAUAUUUAUAUUUAUAUAUGUAUAUCCAUGCAUAUAUGUUUAUAUAUUAUAUAUAUUUAUAUAAUCCUUAAAAUUUAAUAUUAAUAAAUUUACAUUUUACUUUAUAUAAAAUUUAAAAUUUUUAAUAUUUAUAAAAAUUUAAUAAUUUAAUUAAUUUAAAAUUUAUUUAUAAAAAAUUUAAUUAUAUAUUAAAUUAUAUUUAAUAAUAAAAUUUAAAAUAAUAAAAAUGAAUUAUAUUAGUAAUAAAUUAAUUUAUAAAUAUUUUUAAAUUUAAAAAUAAUUUAAGGAAUUAGACAAAAAUAAUUAUUCAAAUGUUUAACAAAAACAUUUUCUAAAGAUUAAAAUUUUAAUUUUAGAUAAAAUCUGCUCAAUGAAAAUUUUUAAAUAGCUGCAAUAUUCUUAAUUGUACUAAGGUAGCAUAAUAAAUAGAUUUAUAAUUUAAAUCUAGAAUGAAAGAUUAAAUGAAAUAAAAAUUGUCUCAAAUUAAUAUAUAAAAUUUUAUUUAAGUUAAAAUUCUUAAAUAAUUAAAAAAGACGAAAAGACCCUAUAGAAUUUUAUAUUUUAAAUUAUAACUAAAAUUAAAUUUAAAAAUUAAAUUAUUUAAAAUAUUUAUUUGGGGUAAAUUUAAAAUUUAAUAAACUUUUAAAAUUUUUAAACAAUUAUUUUUGUUAAUUAAUAUUUUAAGAUCCUAUUUAAUGAUUAAUAAAAAAAAUUACCUUAGGGAUAACAGCAUAAUUUUUCUUAUAAGAACAUAUUUUUAGAAAUUUUAUGACCUCGAUGUUGAAUUAAGAUAAAAUAAAAAUGAAAAAUUUUUUAAAUUUAAGUCUGUUCGACUUUUAAUAUCUUACAUGAUUUGAGUUAAAAUCGGUGUAAACCAGAUUGGAUUCUAUCUUUUUAAUAAAUUUAUAAUUUUGUACGAAAGGAAUUAUUAUAAAGUUUAAAUAUUUAAAAUUUAAAAUAAAAUUAAAUUUAAU